Molecule: ribosomal RNA, 473 nt
Filed under: uncultured Smithella sp.
Lineage: Bacteria; Pseudomonadati; Thermodesulfobacteriota; Syntrophia; Syntrophales; Smithellaceae
Description: bacterial SSU rRNA
Rfam family: Bacterial small subunit ribosomal RNA
Source: RNAcentral
UUGACGGGGGCCCGCACAAGCGGUGGAGCAUGUGGUUUAAUUCGAUGCAACGCGAAGAACCUUACCUGGGCUUGACAUCCCUGGAAUCCCCUGGAAACAGGGGAGUGCCCUUCGGGGAGCCAGGAGACAGGUGCUGCAUGGCUGUCGUCAGCUCGUGUCGUGAGAUGUUGGGUUAAGUCCCGCAACGAGCGCAACCCUUAUCUUUAAUUGCCAGCAUUCAGUUGGGCACUUUAAAGAGACUGCCGGUGUUAAACCGGAGGAAGGUGGGAUGACGUCAAGUCCUCAUGGCCUUUAUGCUUAGGGCUACACACGUGCUACAAUGGGUGGUACAAAGAGAAGCCAACUCGCGAGAGCGCGCCAAUCUCAAAAAGCCAUCCUCAGUUCGGAUUGGAGUCUGCAACUCGACUCCAUGAAGUUGGAAUCGCUAGUAAUCGCGGAUCAGCAUGCCGCGGUCGAAUACGUUCCCGGGCCUU